Molecule: ribosomal RNA, 267 nt
Filed under: Triticum aestivum (bread wheat)
Lineage: Eukaryota; Viridiplantae; Streptophyta; Magnoliopsida; Poales; Poaceae
Description: partial small subunit ribosomal RNA
Source: RNAcentral
AUGUGGCGCGAAUUGCUCGCAGCCGCAGGAACCAAACUGCUCUACUCCACCGCGUACCACCCGAAGACGGACGGCCAGACGGAGCGGGUCAAUCAGUGCUUGGAGAUGUACCUACGGUGUGCGGUCCAUGACAUGCCGCGGCAAUGGUGCAAGUGGCUGCCGGUGGCGGAAUUUUGGUACAACUCUGCACAUCACGCCUCCCUGAAUUGCUCUCCCUUGAAGGCAUUGUACGGCAGAGAGCCCAACCUGGGGGCUUACCACACCUGA